This 30-nucleotide non-coding RNA is filed under the name Rattus norvegicus (Norway rat). The record is from RNAcentral. Lineage: Eukaryota; Metazoa; Chordata; Mammalia; Rodentia; Muridae.
UGGCUUUUGCGAUUCUGGUUUCAGGACACU